AAGUGCAGCAGUGAGGAGCUCACCAUGGAGUUCUGGUGGUGGGAUAUGGUUUUGAAGGAGAGGAUGUAGAUGGCAAUAAAUUCUGGAUUGUCAAGAACAGCUGGACCGAGAAAUGGGGAGACAAAGGCUACAUCUACAUGGCCAAAGACAGGAAGAACCACUGUGGCAUCGCCACGGCAGCCAUUUACCCACUGUGCUAGUGUUCUGUAAAGUUCUCGAACA
Salvelinus sp. IW2-2015 is the source of this 222-nucleotide long non-coding RNA. RefSeq lists it as uncharacterized. The record is from RefSeq and is a predicted model, not a curated record. Lineage: Eukaryota; Metazoa; Chordata; Actinopteri; Salmoniformes; Salmonidae.